Long non-coding RNA from Ricinus communis (castor bean), 568 nucleotides. RefSeq lists it as uncharacterized. The record is from RefSeq and is a predicted model, not a curated record. NCBI's taxonomy places the organism in Eukaryota, Viridiplantae, Streptophyta, Magnoliopsida, Malpighiales, Euphorbiaceae. The transcript is spliced from 2 exons.
AAUAUAGUCAUUGUCUUAUUCUCUCAACGUAACUAAAUGAUAAGAUUUAAUCUUUUAUUUAUAAUGGUUAUAUGUCACCAGAAUAUGCAGUGUUUGGAAGAUUUUCAAUAAAAUCCGAUAUUUUUCAGUUUUGGAGUAAUUCUAUUAGAGAUUAUAACUGGCAAGAGGAGCACUAGCUCUCACGAGGAGGUUGCUUCCUUGAGCUUGAUAGGACGAGUUUGGGAGCUAUGGAAACAGGAGAAAGCAUUGGAGAUGGUUGAUCCAGUAGUGCUAAACGAAUCGUAUGAUCCCCAUGAAAUCUUGAGACGUAUGCAGAUUGCACAAUUAUGCGUGCAAGAAGAAGCAAUGGGUAGACCAACUAUAUCCUCAUGUUUGACAGUCAUGUGGCUCUUCCUCCUCCAAAACAACCUGCUUUUAUAUUCAGAGAUUCUUCAGAGAGAGACGGAGAGUGUUCUGUCGAUGAGAUGACAAUUACUGCAACCGUAGCCAGGUAAAAAUCUUUAAUUUUGUCACUGAAAAGAACUUGUCCAUUAGUUUAUCUAAUAUAAUCAUUUUAUAUAUUACUUUU